AUAUCACUAAGCGGAGGAAAAGAAAUUAACUAAGAUUGCCUCAGUAACGGCGAGUGAAGCGGGAAGAGCUCAAAUUUAAAAUCUGGCUUGCUUGCAGGCCCGAGUUGUAUUCUAAAGAAGCGUUUUCCUUGAACGCCAAGGCAAAAGUCCUCUGGAAAGGGGCAUCAUAGAGGGUGAGAAUCCCGUCUUUGGCCUUGAGUUUGUUCAUUUUGUGAUACGUUCUCUACGAGUCAGGUUGUUUGGGAAUGCAGCCUAAAAAUGGGUGGUAAAUUCCAUCUAAAGCUAAAUAUUGGCGAGAGACCGAUAGCGCACAAGUA
RNAcentral lists this ribosomal RNA (317 nucleotides) under uncultured Umbelopsis. Its description in RNAcentral is "partial large subunit ribosomal RNA". It matches the Rfam family "Eukaryotic large subunit ribosomal RNA", at positions 40 to 350 of the family's 3401-position model. Lineage: Eukaryota; Fungi; Mucoromycota; Umbelopsidomycetes; Umbelopsidales; Umbelopsidaceae. The record is from RNAcentral.